UACGUAGGGGGCAAGCGUUGUCCGGAAUCAUUGGGCGUAAAGAGCGUGUAGGCGGCCCGAUAAGUCCGCUGUGAAAGUCCAGGGCUCAACCCUGGGAUGCCGGUGGAUACUGUCGGGCUCGAGUCCGGAAGAGGAGUGUGGAAUUCCUGGUGUAGCGGUGAAAUGCGCAGAUAUCAGGAGGAACACCAAUGGCGAAGGCAGCACUCUGGGACGUGACUGACGCUGAGACGCGAAAGCGUGGGGAGCGAUCCGG
This 253-nucleotide ribosomal RNA is filed under the name uncultured bacterium. RNAcentral describes it as "partial 16S ribosomal RNA". It matches the Rfam family "Bacterial small subunit ribosomal RNA", at positions 524 to 776 of the family's 1533-position model. The record is from RNAcentral.